GCAGCCUGAUGCAGCGACGCCGCGUGAGGGACGACGGCCUUCGGGUUGUAAACCUCUUUCAGCACAGACGAAGCGCGAGUGACGGUAUGUGCAGAAGAAGGACCGGCCAACUACGUGCCAGCAGCCGCGGUAAUACGUAGGGUCCGAGCGUUGUCCGGAAUUACUGGGCGUAAAGAGCUCGUAGGUGGUUUGUCGCGUUGUCCGUGAAAACUCACAGCUCAACUGUGGGCGUGCGGGCGAUACGGGCAGACUAGAGUACUGCAGGGGAGACUGGAAUUCCUGGUGUAGCGGUGGAAUGCGCAGAUAUCAGGAGGAACACCGGUGGCGAAGGCGGGUCUCUGGGCAGUAACUGACGCUGAGGAGCGAAAGCGUGGGGAGCGAACAGGAUUAGAUACCCUGGUAGUCCACGCCGUAAACGGUGGGUACUAGGUGUGGGUUUCCUUCCUUGGGAUCCGUGCCGUAGCUAACGCAUUAAGUACCCCGCCUGGGGAGUACGGCCGCAAGGCUAAAACUCAAAGAAAUUGACGGGGGCCCGCACAAGCGGCGGAGCAUGUGGAUUAAUUCGAUGCAACGCGAAGAACCUUACCUGGGUUUGACAUGCACAGGACGCUGGUAGAGAUAUCAGUUCCCUUGUG
Molecule: ribosomal RNA, 635 nt
Filed under: Mycobacterium sp. Ri2Ps_5054
Lineage: Bacteria; Bacillati; Actinomycetota; Actinomycetes; Mycobacteriales; Mycobacteriaceae
Description: bacterial SSU rRNA
Rfam family: Bacterial small subunit ribosomal RNA
Source: RNAcentral